This is a non-coding RNA of Podarcis lilfordi (Lilford's wall lizard), 7106 nucleotides long. The record is from the annotation of a GenBank genome assembly. NCBI's taxonomy places the organism in Eukaryota, Metazoa, Chordata, Lepidosauria, Squamata, Lacertidae.
GAGUGCUCCAGUUGGAGAACAGCCUUUACCAAAGGUGUCAUGGACUUUGAAGACACUCAAACUCAGAACACAAGGGAGAAAUGUGCAAAGAGGAAGGCACGCUUGGCAAAUCCACACCAUGAUCAACUCCUGCCCAGGAACCAAUGUCGCCACUGUGGAAAGAUGUGUGGGUCCAUAACUGGCCUCCACAGUCACUUACGGACUCAUUGUUAAAACCGUGUUUAUGGAAGACAAUCUUACUUGACUACGAGUGAUCACAGAAGAAGAAGAAGAAGAAGAAGACGACGAAGACUAGGAUACAUAAUAAGGAAAAGCUUUAAUUCAGCUUAAAUCUCUAUUUUUUUGCAGGAGUUUGCAGCAAUUUUAUCUAAGGAAUGCAUGCAGGCAUUAGUAUUACUCAAGAGAAAACAAACAAUUCCUGCAAGUUUAAGAAUACUCCCACUGCUUUACAUUAGUAAACAAAAAACUGGAAUAUGAGAAAAUGUCAAAUGCAAAUAGGAUUGCCAUUGAAUUUGUUUUAUUCCUUCUCAUUUAAAUUUUAAAAAGAUGAGAGAAAGUUAUACAGCCAAUACGGCACAAUUUCAUUUUGCAAUAAUAAUAAUAAUAAUUGCAAAGGCAAAAAUUACUAGCCUCAUAAUACUUUGCAUAAUUAACUUAAUCAAUGCCAUUCAGUUGAAUGUCCUUGGACGUUUCCCUGCAGUUGCAAAUCCUUGCAUUAUCAAGCUUCCUGAUUGUUUGAAGGCUUGUAAAUUCAUUCAGCUGAAUGUGCUAACAAGCACCCCUUAGGUUUUCCUCCUCGGUGCAACAAGGUCCAAAGUCGAGGAGUGUUGGAGAUGGGGGCAUCAAAUGUGCCUGAGUGUCCCAUGUCUUCAUGUACUCACAUGCUCUUUGAACAUCUGAACAGGGCUAGUAUCUGAUUUGUUUGCUUUUUUAGUAUUUGACACAAGCAGUUCAAGCUUCCACAGUUAGCUGAGAAGUAUCUCUUUAUCCUAAGUCACGUGCGUUUGAACUACAUUUACAAAACCAUAUUGGACUCAAGAGAUAAUUUCUCAUCAAGCAUUCCACUUCUUGAAGUUAGAAUUUGUUUCCAAUACCUCUUAGCUUUUUUACAUUUUCACCAGCAUUCAUCACAUCCCCCUCCCACUUAAAUGGUUUUGCUGUAAUUUUAACAGUGCCUGGAGUCAUAUUAACAGUUUUAUUUUAAAGACAUAGCAGCUGUAUACAUGUUUCUCUGUUUCCACAUACAUUGCCACAUUUCUGUUUAUGUAUCUGUGUGAAAAUCUCUCUUCCAUUUUGUGAUGUAUCCUUAAUGUUGAAUAAAAUAUAAUAGAUCUGUGACUACAUUGAUUUUUAACUAUGAUUUGUUCUAACUGGACCAGUGGUCUGAGGCUGCCACUUCCUUGUUCAAUCCAGUGCUGCAGAAAUGGCAUCUUUGGGAAGUGCUCUAAAAGAACAAUCUGAGGCUGUCCAUCUCUUCCUCAACUUCUGUAUAGCAGAACACCACUUAGCAUCCAGUGUCUACACUAACAAAAUUCCUGCUUAUUAAAACAUGGGAGAGAUCUGCCCAGCCUUAUUGCAGCAGGGAUUUAAAAAAGGAAAUUGAUUAUUUUUCUGAGCUAUGUCUCUCCCAUACAGUGGUACCUCGGGUUAAGUACUUAAUUCAUUCCGGAGGUCCGCACUUAACCUGAAACUGUUCUUAACCUGAAGCACCACUUUAGCUAAUGGGGCCUCCUGCUGCUGCUGUGCCGCCGGAGCACAAUUUCUGUUCUCAUCCUGAAGCAAAGUUCUUAACCUGAAGCACUAUUUCUGGGUUAGUGGAGUCUGUAACCUGAAGCGUAUGUAACCUGAAGUGUAUGUAACCCGAGGUACCACUGUAUAAUCAAAAUUACUAGUAGACUCAUACUCCCUGUCAUCACCUUUUGUCUUCUGUUUUAGAAUGAAACUAGAGGAGUGAAUCUACUGAUAGGAGCAUUUUUGCAAACUAUCUAGCUGUCCCUUCCUGAACUACUUCAACUCUGUCCUUUAUCCAGUUUAAUAGCUUUUUGCUAAUUUUUUUUAUUUUAAUAUGUUCAUAUACUGGUAGAAGUGGUGCAUCCCCCCCCACUUCCCCCUCAGGAGUUAAGCAGAGAAGGAAAUGUGAUUUUUUUCUCCAGGCUUGCUAUGGUUCUAAUAAUUAUCUCCUCUCUCCCACAAACACAGCAAUGCUGUGUGGGUUUUUGAAGAUCUUCACAUUAAAUGCAUAGAUUCAUUUAACUCCACAUCUUAUUUUGCCUGAACAUCAGGAUGAGCUUUUUGUCAGUGGAACAGAUUCCCAUGAGAGGCGGUGGACUCUCCCUCCUUGGAGGUUUUGAAGCAGAGGUUGGAUGGCUGUCUGUCUUAGAUGAUCUACUGUAGUUGAGAUUCCUGCAUUGCAGGGGGUUGGACUAGAUGACCCUCAGGAUCCCUUCCAACUCCACACUUUGAUGAUUCUACAACCACUGAACCACAAUACCAUUUUAAAAAAAAUCUGUACAGUAGAAGAAAAAGGUUGAACAACCAAAAGACUGACUAGGGAAAGCUUUUCUUCAUUACGGUACCUUUUAUUAUGUUUUUAUAAAUUAAUCUGCUCUUCAACCAGAAUGUUCCCAGGGCAUUUGAGAAGAUUUGUUUUUGUUUCAAGAUACAUCCAUACAAAAUAAGCAAGUAAUCUGACUUUCCAGAUGGAGUUAAAUAAACUAAUGAAAUGCAGAAGAAGGAAAUAAAAUUAGUAGGUAAGUGACCACAUUAGGGGAAUUAGGUUACUCAGAGAACCAGAAAAGAAUGAGGUAGGAAAGAAAGCUCAAAGCCCAAUUUAAUUGUGUGUGUGUUUAAGUAAGAUAUUAACAAAGCUAACUGCAGAGAAUAAUAAACAAGAAGUUACCCUGUUAACUGAGAUAUGCCCACCUUCACCCGAAUAUCUUCACAGUGGAUAUGCAGAACAGUAGGGUGGUUCUAAAACCUUCAUAUUCAAAGACGUUUUAAAAGGUAUUUUGCAUAGAAUUUGUAUGGAUGUGCCUCUGGUGCUUUGACUCAUGGAAUUGGCUGAUUGGGUCAAAUCAAUAUGUGAAAUUCAACCUCUAUCAUUUCUCUUUAUUAGUCUUCUCUUUUCUCUGCUCUAUUCCUUAAGCUUCCUCCUUCACUGCUUUUUCAUUGAGUUCCAAAUUCCUUGCUCUGAAUUCCUUGUUCCAUAGCUUUCCUUCUUCCUGGUCCACAGCCUGCCUUGCAGAGCUGCUGUCUAUUGCUUCCUUGGGAAGUUUUAAUCCCAGCUAAACUGACAACAUCCCCUUCCACAACAUCAAGGAUAGCUAACUUGUGGUCUUCCAGAUGUUGGUGGACUACUGCUUCCAUCAUCCCUCACCAUUGCUGGCUGGAGCUGUUGGGAGUUCACCAACAUCUGGAGGACCACAGAUUAGCCACAUUGGGCAUCAGAGAAGCUCAGCUGCCUGAUGGCUUUGCACCCUGAGCACUUUAAUUUCUGUGAACUUUUCAGGUCAGCAGCAUCUCAAAUUUCAGUGGUGCACUAUGUGACGCCAAAAUUCACCCCCCCCUUGCCUUCUCCUGGAUGUCAUAGUUGUGGCGGCUCAGAAGCUCUGUGCCCAGUGUGACUGCAGCAGUUGCGUUCCCUAGAUCUGCCUUUGUUCAGGUCAUCACAGCAGCUCAGCCAAUGAGUGUCAGAGGCUUCACUGACCAAGUCAUGAUACAAUGUUGAUGUUGUUGUUCUAAAUAGGUGUAGCUAGUUUGCACUUUUUCCAAAAUGUUAAUUAAAAAAAAUGAAUUCAAUGAAAAGAAGAAAGGAAACUUACUGCACUUUUCUUUAAGCAUGGAAAGUGUACCAGGUUAUUGAGUCAACAAAGGCCUGAAAAUGACAUUCCACGUUGAGGUCUCACAAGGGUGCCAACUUGAAUAAAAUACUGAGGGGUGUGUGUAAGUAAGGCCCGCCCUGCACAAUCAAUCAAAAUAUGUGGCGCAUGCACACCAUUUGAAUAGCAAUGGCCAUCAACUUUUGGGGGAGCAUGGUCCCCUCAAAUAUUUUUUGGGGGGGGCUGAAGGGACCUCAGCCCUUUGGAGUUGGCUCCUGUGAGAUCUCAUCUUUUGCAACAGAAGAAGUAUAGUAAUGCUGCUUCUAUGUUGUGAUAACAUGGAGUUGUGUGUUCUUCCCUUCCCAAGCUCCAUACGGUUGGUAAUCACAUAACAUCACAACACAUUACUGUAGGUGCAUUUAGCAAGACAAUUACUGAAGGGGCAAACCAAAUACAUAUAUAGGGGAUACCUUACAUCAUACAAAAAGGAAGUGGAAUGCAAGAGAGGCAGGGCAUCUGUGACUUAAUAUGCUACUACUGCUCAUAUUGUAGAACAAAGUAUUUAACAAUGGUCAGGAAUCUAUUUUCUCAUCUGUAAGAAGUUGUUGUUGUUGUAUAGCUGGUUCUUAAUUUUGACUUUUUGCAGGCCAUUUUCCCUCAUACAAGGGAUACGGGUGGCGCUGUGGUCUAAACCACUGAGCCUCUUGGGCUUGCUGAUCAGAAGGUCGGUAGUUCGAAUCCCUGUGACGGAGUGAGCUCCCGUUGCUCAGUCCCUACUCCUGCCAACCUAGCAGUUCAAAAGCACGUCAGUGCAAGUAGAUAAAUAGGUACAGCUCCGGCGGGAAGAUAAACAGCAUUUCCAUGCGCUGCUCUGGUUUCGCCAGAAGCAGCUUAGUCAUGCUGGCCACAUGACCCAUAAAAAUUGUCUGUGGAUGAACAUCGGCUCCCUCAGCCAGUAAAGCGGGAUAAGUGCCACAACCUCAGAGUCGUUCGCGACUGGACUUAACUGUCAGGGGUCCUUUACCUUUACCUUUACCUUCUCUAAUACAAUGUAUUCCUGUAUGCUAUUUUGACUAACAUAUGCAUUUAUAUCAACAAUGCACACUAGUAUAUACAUUUUUGUGCACAUUACUUUGUUGCAGAACAGCGUUGGAAAAUUCAGAUUGUUUCAGGUUAGGUAUAUCCAUUAUUUUACUGUGAACUUAAUAAAAUCUCUUCUCUACCAGUACUCAAACCAUAAACUGAUGGCUUUUACAAAUGCCUGCACACGUUUGACCCACAAAACUUUACACAGCCCAACCAAUCAGAUAUGUACAGUGGUACCUUGGUUCUCAAACUUAAUCCGUUCCAGAAGUCCGUUCCAAAACCAAAGUGUUCCAAAACUAAGGCGCACUUUCCCACAGAAAGGAAUUUAAAAUGGAUUAAUCCGUUCCAGACUUUUAAAACCAACCCCUAAAACAGCAAUUUAACAUGAAUUUUACUAUCUAACGAUACCAUUGAGUCAUAAAAUGAAAGCAAUAAUCAAUGUACUGUACUAUAAAAUAAAUAAGACAGUAUUGUAGAUGAUAAAAAUUAAAAGUAAUUUUUUUUUCUUACCUGCACUGAUGAUAGUCAUUGUUUGGAUGGGGGGCUUUUAUCCAUUUCUGCAGUUAGACAAUCAAUCCAUCAGUAGCUGAACUGGGUUCCACACAGUCACAAAAACAAAUUAACCGAAAAAGUCUCAAAAACAAAAAUGCAGAAUCAAUAGCAAAAACAAAAGCCCCAAACUUAAUCCAUUCCGGAAGUCCGUUUGACUUCUGAAAUGUUCGAAAACCAAGGCGCAGCUUCUGAUUCGUGCAGGUGCCCCGGAAACAGCAACUAACAACUGCAUUGGACAUUCGGCUUUUGAAAAACGUUCGGAAACCAGAACCCUUACUUCUGAGUUUUUGGUGUUUGGGAACCAAGGCGUUUUCUCAAACCAAGGUACCACUGUAUUUUCAGUCUGCCUGGUCCUUGAUGAUACCUUUAAUGUUGCAGUUUUCAGGCAGGCAGCGAAACUAAAGGCCUAUGAAUGCUCUGGAAGGUGACAUAUGUGGCUGUGAUCAUUCUGAUGGGUCAUACAUUAUGCAGGCCUUUUAUAUGUCUUAAUACCAGCACUAAGUUAAGAUAACAAGUUGUAUUGCAGUUAAUACGGUUUUCAGAAAGUUAGUGGGUUGCAGUGAAUCCACACUUGGACUGGAGUUACCUGCAUUCAAAAUCUUCACUUAAACCAUAAAACCUGGGCCAGUAAUUCAGUUUAAUUGGCCUCCCAGGCUUGUUGCAAAGAUAAAAUGGGAUAAAGCACUGUAGUUACUUGUGGGGAAAUAAAGGAUGUAAUUUACUGAGGCACUUGCAAAGGUGAGAACGCCAGCUUAAUGUAAUAUAAUAAUAGGGUAAUAAGAGUCUGUGAAGAUCCCACGUGCUGUAAGUAUAUCAUUGGCAACACUGGGUCCCCUCAGCCCAAGGACUGAGGGAUUUCAAAACCUUUGUAAGAGAAUUCACAGGCAAUUAUAUGGUCCCUUUUAUCACUACCACUAGAAAGCCCAUAGUAAAUUAUCUACAAAUGAUGUAUUUUUAUGAGCACCAAAGAGCAGCAGUUGUGUAAAUUCAAACAAUAGCUGCUUCAAGCAGACUUGCUUCAUAUUUUGUUAUCUGCAAUUAUCUAUAAUUUUAUAUCCUUAUUUUGCUUGUUGCAGAGAAUAAAAAGCAAACCUCAUAUCAGUUUGCAACAGUGUAGAGCUUUGAGGAAAACGGUUGCUUCUUAUAUGCUGUUGACUUUGCCUGUUUCAAGCAUGGAUUCUUAACCUUCCAUUCCACAGACUGACGCCACGUUCUGUCCCAAUUGCAGUCUGCUAUGUCUUCUCCAUGGGCGUGGGACUAGAUCGUGAUGUUCUGCAAGUAUUUACGUGUCUGGUGUUUAUUUUAUUUAUUUCAUAAAAUUUAUAUACUGCUUGAUUGUAAAAGGAAACCACAAAGUGUUUGAUCUGAGGGUUUAGCAUAGUUUCCCCCACUGCAUAGACCUUCCAAGUAGGAUGUCAGUCUUUUGUUCCCAAAUACCUACUAUUGAGUUCCAUGACAUUGAGAUCUAGAUUUUCCUAGUUUAUUUUAUUUUGAAUGCUUAUAAUGGAAGUUUGAGACUAUAAUUGGAAUAGAUAUGUUCACCUAAUAUCGAAGAAGGUAGUGAUAUUUUACUUUGCCAUGCUUUAUCCAUGGGUCUAAAUUGCACUCUUUUCAUUUUCAGAUGACUUCAUAAAAGGGUAGGACAGUUUC